AACGAACGCUGGCGGCAGGCCUAACACAUGCAAGUCGAACGCCCUGGCAACAGGGAGUGGCAGACGGGUGAGUAACGCGUGGGAAUCUACCUUGUGGUACGGAACAACCAAGGGAAACUUUGGCUAAUACCGUAUGAGCCCUUCGGGGGGAAAGAUUUAUCGCCAUAAGAUGAGCCCGCGUAGGAUUAGCUAGUUGGUGA
Molecule: ribosomal RNA, 200 nt
Filed under: uncultured bacterium
Lineage: Bacteria
Description: partial 16S ribosomal RNA
Rfam family: Bacterial small subunit ribosomal RNA
Source: RNAcentral